GAAAGCGACGCUAAUACCGAAUGACAUCUCAAUAACUCCGGUCUUUGAGAUCAAAGGUGGCCUCUCCAUGGAAGCUACUGUUUGGAGAUGAGCCCGCGUACCAUUAGCUUGUUGGUAGGGUAAUGGCCUACCAAGGCGACGAUGGUUAGCUGGUCUGAGAGGAUGAUCAGCCACACUGGAACUGACACACGGUCCAGACUCCUACGGGAGGCAGCAGUGAGGAAUUUUGCGCAAUGGGGGAAACCCUGACGCAGCAACGCCGCGUGAGUGAUGAAGGCUUUCGGGUCGUAAAGCUCUGUCAAGUGAGAAGAACCUGUCCUUUGCUAAUAUCACUGGGCACUGACGGUAUCACUGAAGGAAGCACCGGCUAACUCCGUGCCAGCAGCCGCGGUAAUACGGAGGGUGCAAGCGUUAUUCGGAAUCACUGGGCGUAAAGAGCGCGUAGGCGGUUUCUAAAGUCAGAUGUGAAAGCCCGGGGCUCAACCCCGGAAGUGCAUUUGAAACUUAGGGACUUGAGUAUGGGAGAGGGAAGUGGAAUUCCUGGUGUA
This 548-nucleotide ribosomal RNA is filed under the name uncultured bacterium. Its description in RNAcentral is "bacterial SSU rRNA". It matches the Rfam family "Bacterial small subunit ribosomal RNA", at positions 153 to 677 of the family's 1533-position model. The record is from RNAcentral.